This 396-nucleotide ribosomal RNA is filed under the name uncultured bacterium. RNAcentral describes it as "partial 16S ribosomal RNA". It matches the Rfam family "Bacterial small subunit ribosomal RNA", at positions 523 to 918 of the family's 1533-position model. The record is from RNAcentral.
AUACGUAGGGAGCGAGCGUUGUCCGGAAUUACUGGGUGUAAAGGGAGCGUAGGCGGGAGUGCAAGUCAGAUGUGAAAUACAUGGGCUCAACCCAUGGACUGCAUUUGAAACUGCAUUUCUUGAGUGAAGUAGAGGUAAGCGGAAUUCCUGGUGUAGCGGUGAAAUGCGUAGAUAUCAGGAGGAACACCGGUGGCGAAGGCGGCUUACUGGGCUUUUACUGACGCUGAGGCUCGAAAGCGUGGGGAGCAAACAGGAUUAGAUACCCUGGUAGUCCACGUUGUAAACGAUGAAUACUAGGUGUGGGGGGACUGACCCCCUCCGUGCCGCAGUUAACACAAUAAGUAUUCCACCUGGGGAGUACGAUCGCAAGAUUGAAACUCAAAGGAAUUGACGGGG